GGAUUAGUGGCGAACGGGUGAGUAACACGUGGGUAAUCUGCCCUGCACUCUGGGAUAAGCCUUGGAAACGAGGUCUAAUACCGGAUAUGACAUACGGCCGCAUGGUCUGUGUGUGGAAAGUUCCGGCGGUGCAGGAUGAACCCGCGGCCUAUCAGCUUGUUGGUGGGGUAGUGGCCUACCAAGGCGACGACGGGUAGCCGGCCUGAGAGGGUGACCGGCCACACUGGGACUGAGACACGGCCCAGACUCCUACGGGAGGCAGCAGUGGGGAAUCUUGCGCAAUGGGCGAAAGCCUGACGCAGCAACGCCGCGUGGGGGAUGACGGCCUUCGGGUUGUAAACCUCUUUCGACAGGGACGAAGCUUUCGGGUGACGGUACCUGUAGAAGAAGCACCGGCUAACUACGUGCCAGCAGCCGCGGUAAUACGUAGGGUGCGAGCGUUGUCCGGAUUUAUUGGGCGUAAAGAGCUCGUAGGCGGUUUGUCGCGUCGGCCGUGAAAACCUGCAGCUUAACUGUGGGCGUGCGGUCGAUACGGGCAGACUUGAGUUCGGCAGGGGAGACUGGAAUUCCUGGUGUAGCGGUGAAAUGCGCAGAUAUCAGGAGGAACACCGGUGGCGAAGGCGGGUCUCUGGGCCGAUACUGACGCUGAGGAGCGAAAGCAUGGGGGAGCGAACAGGAUUAGAUACCCUGGUAGUCCAUGCCGUAAACGUUG
Molecule: ribosomal RNA, 712 nt
Filed under: Saccharopolyspora sp. KLBMP 1495
Lineage: Bacteria; Bacillati; Actinomycetota; Actinomycetes; Pseudonocardiales; Pseudonocardiaceae
Description: bacterial SSU rRNA
Rfam family: Bacterial small subunit ribosomal RNA
Source: RNAcentral